CUCGUGAAAAAGUGGUGAAGCUUUUGGCCUCCACAACUCCAGAGGAGGUCUUGGAGAAAUUGGAAAAGCAAGUUGAAAAAAAAAUAAAAGCCUCCCUAUUCCGAGAUACAACAAUAGUGAAUUUAGGCGAAUUUAUAACCCUACAAUGGCCUUUAGGUGUUCAAGUGAAAGGAAGAGUCGUACGUCUCUCACUUUAAAUCAAAAGCUAGAAAUGAUUAAACUUAGUGAGGAAGGCAUGUCAAAAGCUGAGAUAGGCCGAAAGCUAGGCCUCUUGCGACAAACAGUUAGCCAAGUUGUGAAUGCAAAGGAAAAGUUCUUGAAGGAAAUGAAAAGUGCUACUCCAAUGAACACACGAGUGAUAAGAAAGCAAAACAGCCUGAUUGCUGACAUGGAGAAAGUGUUAGUGGUCUGGAUAAAAGAUCAAACCAGCCACAACAUUCCCUUAAGCCAGAGUCUAAUCCAGGCCAAGGCCUUAAUGCUUUUCAAUUCUAUAAAGGCCGAGAGAGGUGAGGAAGCUGCAGAAGAAAAGUUUGAGGCCAGCAGAGGUUGGUUCAUGAGGUUUAAGGAAAGAUGCCGACUCUGUGACAUAAAAGUGCAAGGUGAAGCCGCAGGUGCCGACGUGGAAGCUGCAGCAAGUGACCCAGAAGAUCUGGCCAAAAUAAUUAAUGAAGGUGGCUACACCACACAACAGAUUUUCAAUGUAGAGGAAACAGCCUUAUAUUGGAAGAAGAUGCCAUCUAGAACUUUCAUAGCCAGAGAGGAGAAGGCAAUGCCUGGCUUCAAAGCUUCAAAGGACAGGCUGACCCUCUUGUUAGGGGCUAAUGCAGCUGGUGACUUUAAGUUGAAGCCAAUGCUCGUGUAUUAUUCUGAAAAUCCUACCGCCCUUAAGAAUUAUGCUAAAGCUACUCUGCCUGUGCUCUAUAAAUGGAACAACAAAGCCUGGAUGACAGCACAUUUGUUUACAUCAUGGUUUACUGAAUAUUUUAAGCCCGCUGUCGAGACCUACUGCUCAGAAAAAAAGAUCCCUUUCAAAAUAUUACUGCUUAUUGACAAUACACCUGUUCACCCAAGAGCUCUGAAGGAGUUGUACAAUGAGAUUAAUGUUAUUUUCAUACCUGCUAACACAGCAUCCACUCUGCAGCCCCUGGGUCAAGGAGUAAUUUCAACUUUCAAGUCUUAUUAUUUAAGAAACAUAUUUUGUAAGGCUAUAGCUGCCACAGAUAGUGACUCCUCUGAUGGAUCUGGGCAAAGUAAAUUGAAAACCUUCUGGAAAAGGUUCACCAUUCUAGAUGCCAUUAAGAACAUCCGCGAUUCGUGGGAUGAGGUCAAAACAUCAACCAUAACAGGAGUUUGGAAGAAGUUGAUUCCAACCCUCACGGAUGAGUUUGAGGAGUUCAAGGUUUCAUUGGAGGAAGUGACUGCAGAUGUGGUGGAAAUAGCAAGAGAACUGGAAUUAGAAGUGGGGCCUGAAGAUGUGACCGAAUGGCUGCAGUCUCACGAUAGCUCUUUAACGGAUGAGGAGCUGCUGCUUAUGGAUGAGCAGAGGAAGUGGUUUCUUGAGAUGGAGUCUGCUCCUGGCGAAGAUGACGUGAAGAUCGUUGAAAUGACCACAAGGGAUUUAGAAUAUUACAUAAACUUAGUGGAUGAGGCAGCAGCAGGGUUUGAGAGGAUCGACUCCAAUUUUGAAAGAAGUUAUACUGUGGGUGGAAUGCUAUCAGACAGCAUUGCGUGCUACAGAAAAAUCAUCCACGAAAGGAAGAGUCAGUCGAUGAGGCAGAGUUCAUUGUCUUAUUUUAAGAAAUUCCCACAGCCACCCCAGUCUUCAGCCGCCACCACCCGGGUCAGUCAGCAGCUAUUAACAUUGAAGCAAGACUCUCCGCCAGCAAAAAGAUUACGACUCCCUGAAGACUCAGAUGAUGGUUAGCAUUUUUUAGCAAUAACGUACUUUUUAAUUAAGGCAUGUACAUGGUUUUGCCUCCAUUGACAGAGCCUGAGAAAGCAAAACCUGGACUCCUGAUUCUGUGGGCCUUUCCUCCUUCGCCAGCGAGGGGUUGGAGAGAGAACCAGAGCGUCAUAUGGCGGCGGCUGUGAAUGGCACCAAGUGGAGCCUGCGGGCGGAGCUGAAGCAGUGUCUGCAGGCCAUCAGGAGCGCUCACAGCCGCCACUGCCAUCUGGGGAGUACAGGCUGCCCUCCACAGGGCCUCGCCUCCCCUUCCCCCAUCCCCGCUGCCACAAGUCCCCGCCCACCCAAGCCUGCUG
RNA transcript from Myotis brandtii (Brandt's bat), 2259 nucleotides. It is a transcript of the gene named tigger transposable element-derived protein 1-like, with no coding region annotated. Lineage: Eukaryota; Metazoa; Chordata; Mammalia; Chiroptera; Vespertilionidae. The record is from RefSeq and is a predicted model, not a curated record. The transcript is spliced from 3 exons.